GGGCCCGCACAAGCGGUGGAGCAUGUGGUUUAAUUCGAUGCAACGCGAAGAACCUUACCUACCCUUGACAUCCUCGGAAUCUGCCGGAGACGGCGGAGUGCCUUCGGGAACCGAGUGACAGGUGCUGCAUGGCUGUCGUCAGCUCGUGUUGUGAAAUGUUGGGUUAAGUCCCGUAACGAGCGCAACCCCUGUCCCUAUUUGCCAGCGAUUCGGUCGGGAACUCUAGGGAGACUGCCGGUGACAAACCGGAGGAAGGUGGGGACGACGUCAAGUCAUCAUGGCCCUUACGGGUAGGGCUACACACGUGCUACAAUGGCAGGUACAAAGGGUUGCAAGACGGCGACGUGGAGCUAAUCCCAUAAAGCCUGCCUCAGUCCGGAUCGGAGUCUGCAACUCGACUCCGUGAAGUCGGAAUCGCUAGUAAUCGUGAAU
RNAcentral lists this ribosomal RNA (432 nucleotides) under uncultured bacterium. RNAcentral's name for it is "bacterial SSU rRNA". It matches the Rfam family "Bacterial small subunit ribosomal RNA", at positions 917 to 1349 of the family's 1533-position model. The record is from RNAcentral.